This 315-nucleotide ribosomal RNA is filed under the name uncultured Hydrogenophaga sp. Its description in RNAcentral is "bacterial SSU rRNA". It matches the Rfam family "Bacterial small subunit ribosomal RNA", at positions 1060 to 1382 of the family's 1533-position model. Lineage: Bacteria; Pseudomonadati; Pseudomonadota; Betaproteobacteria; Burkholderiales; Comamonadaceae. The record is from RNAcentral.
UCGUGUCGUGAGAUGUUGGGUUAAGUCCCGCAACGAGCGCAACCCUUGCCAUUAGUUGCUACGAAAGGGCACUCUAAGUGGGACUGCCGGUGACAAACCGGAGGAAGUGGGGAUGACGUCAAGUCCUCAUGGCCCUUAUAGGUGGGCUACACACGUCAUACAAUGGCUGGUACAAAGGGUUGCCAACCCGCGAGGGGGAGCCAAUCCCAUAAAGCCAGCCGUAGUCCGGAUCGUAGUCUGCAACUCGACUACGUGAAGUCGGAAUCGCUAGUAAUCGUGGAUCAGAAUGUCACGGUGAAUACGUUCCCGGGUCUU